Molecule: long non-coding RNA, 1031 nt
Filed under: Aotus nancymaae (Ma's night monkey)
Lineage: Eukaryota; Metazoa; Chordata; Mammalia; Primates; Aotidae
Description: lncRNA (ENSANAG00000039023.1)
Source: RNAcentral
GAUCCGCGGCGUACUAGGCCACCUAUCUGCGUCUUCUCGAGCCAGACCCCCAGCACUUACCGGGACGCGACGGCCCAAGCACUGACUCCCAGACAAGAGUCGCCCUUCCCGUCCCCCAAGGAACUGACACUAAGGCGGGACGUUCCCUCUACGACAGUUAGCAGGUCCCAGGAACGCAGCACGCAACAGCGCGGCGCAGACCCAGACUUUUCCCGGGGUGAGACCCAGAGCUCUGCGCUCUGGACAGUCCUCCCUACCCAGCCUGGAGGCCAACGUUCCCCAGCCCACCCGGAGACCUCCCCACUUCCCUGCUGUGCCGACGCUUGCCCCAGUUGGAGCAGCCUCAGGGGGCUGGGAGCUUUCGGUCCAACUCCCUUCUCCCGGACAUCCAAAACAGAUUACCUUGUCCACGCUCUCCAGACCACGCUUUGGACCUUCUCACUUUUAUUUAAGAGUCCGAUGGGGGAAAGAGGAAAAAAAAAAUCCAGAGGAGAUCCAAGUCAAUUGGAAAGAAAAAAUUUCAAAAGGGUGUCCACAGCAGCGAAAAAAAGCCCAGGCUCUACCGACCUUCAAACUACAACAGAGCUUUCAGGAGAAUGCGGGGAGAUCGCUUCCCACCCGGACCUCACCAGAAACCCGCACACCCCACCCCAUUACUCCUCGUUCAGCCAGAAAGGACUCCAGCUCCACCACCGAGAGGCCCCCUUCCUGGUGCUGGGCAGUUGAGAGGCUGUUCAAGGCAUCCCACAGGUGGCGACUGUCCCCCACCCUCCUCCUAGCCCUUUAGAAGGUACCUCUGUGGCAGACACGGUGGCUAGGUUUCUCUUUCCAACUCCUGUUACUCUGACACGUGACAAAUCAUCUUUGUGACAUUAAUCAGUAGUCACCUCAAGAUCCCUAUACUGUUCACCAGUUCCUUUUAGUGUUAGCUGCCUUCCCUGUUGGAAGUGUUCAAUAUGGAACUAGAUUAAAAUGAGGACUUGCUCUUUAGUUUCAACUGUGGAACUCGAUAGCACUUUCUGUUUCUCCUU